UACAGACGGUCCAAACGUUAUUCGGAAUCACUGGGCUUAAAGAGUUCGUAGGCGGUCCAGAAAGUGGGGUGUGAAAGCCCUCGGCUUAACCGAGGAAUUGCGCUCCAAACUACUGGACUUGAGGAGGCUAGAGGUAAGCGGAACUGAUGGUGGAACGGUGAAAUGCGUUGAUAUCAUCAGGAACACCGGAGGCGAAGGCGGCUUACUGGGGCCUAUCUGACGCUGAGGAGCGAAAGCGUGGGGAGCGAACAGG
RNAcentral lists this ribosomal RNA (253 nucleotides) under uncultured bacterium. RNAcentral's name for it is "partial 16S ribosomal RNA". It matches the Rfam family "Bacterial small subunit ribosomal RNA", at positions 524 to 776 of the family's 1533-position model. The record is from RNAcentral.